RNAcentral lists this small RNA (128 nucleotides) under Marmota monax (woodchuck). Lineage: Eukaryota; Metazoa; Chordata; Mammalia; Rodentia; Sciuridae. The record is from RNAcentral.
GCCAGGUGUGGUGGCACAUGCCUGUAAUCCCAGCAGCUUGGGAGUCUGAGGCAGGAGGAUUGCAAGUUCAAAGCCAGCUUUAGCAACUUAGUGUAGGCCAUAAGCAACUUAGCAAGACUCUGUCUCUA